GAUAAACGCUGGCGGCGCACAUAAGACAUGCAAGUUGAACGGACUUAAUCGAAAUAUUUAUCUUUUGAAGCGGUUAGUGGCGGACUGGUGAGUAACGCGUAAGGAACCUGCCUAUUAGAGGGGAAUAACAGUGAGAAAUCAUUGCUAAUACCGCAUAUGCCAUAGAUAUCACAUGAUAACAGUGGGAAAGGAGCAAUCCGCUAAUAGAUGGCCUUGCGUCUGAUUAGAUAGUUGGUGGGGUAACGGCCUACCAAGUCGACGAUCAGUAGCCGGACUGAGAGGUUGAACGGCCACAUUGGGACUGAGAGACGGCCCAGACUCCUACGGGAGGCAGCAGUCGGGAAUAGUGCGCAAUGGAGGAAACUCUGACGCAGUGACGCCGCGUAUAGGAAGAAGGUUUUCGGAUUGUAAACUAUUGUCGUUAGGGAAGAGAAAGGACAGUACCUAAGGAGGAAGCUCCGGCUAACUACGUG
This 473-nucleotide ribosomal RNA is filed under the name uncultured bacterium. RNAcentral's name for it is "partial 16S ribosomal RNA". It matches the Rfam family "Bacterial small subunit ribosomal RNA", at positions 28 to 507 of the family's 1533-position model. The record is from RNAcentral.